GUGGCGGACGGGUGAGUAACACGUGGGUAACCUACCCUUAAGUGGGGGAUAACAUUUGGAAACAGAUGCUAAUACCGCAUAACCAUUCAGACCACAUGGUCUGAAUGUAAAAGACGGCCUUUGGCUGUCACUUUUGGACGGACCCGCGGCGUAUUAGUUAGUUGGUAAGGUAACGGCUUACCAAGACAAUGAUACGUAGCCGACCUGAGAGGGUAAUCGGCCACAUUGGGACUGAGACACGGCCCAAACUCCUACGGGAGGCAGCAGUAGGGAAUCUUCCACAAUGGACGAAAGUCUGAUGGAGCAACGCCGCGUGAGUGAAGAAGGUUUUAGGAUCGUAAAACUCUGUUGUUGGAGAAGAACAGGGACUAGAGUAACUGUUAGUCCUUUGACGGUAUCCAACCAGAAAGCCACGGCUAACUACGUGCCAGCAGCCGCGGUAAUACGUAGGUGGCAAGCGUUGUCCGGAUUUAUUGGGCGUAAAGCGAGCGCAGGCGG
Molecule: ribosomal RNA, 498 nt
Filed under: Loigolactobacillus coryniformis
Lineage: Bacteria; Bacillati; Bacillota; Bacilli; Lactobacillales; Lactobacillaceae
Description: bacterial SSU rRNA
Rfam family: Bacterial small subunit ribosomal RNA
Source: RNAcentral